GGUUGCGAUCAUACCAGCACUAAUGCACCGGAUCCCAUCAGAACUCCGCAGUUAAGCGUGCGUGGGCGAGAGUAGUACUAGGAUGGGUGACCCCCUGGGAAGUCCUCGUGUUGCAACCCC
Molecule: ribosomal RNA, 120 nt
Filed under: Helianthus annuus (common sunflower)
Lineage: Eukaryota; Viridiplantae; Streptophyta; Magnoliopsida; Asterales; Asteraceae
Also listed under: 1 other name
Source: RNAcentral